UGAGAGAUUUUUCCAGGGGCAGAAGAGUUAGUAUGGAAUUGGUUGUGAUUCUUUUUGGGGAAGGCGGUUAUUAUCCCUUUGGCUUAAAGCCAAAUGCUGCUCAUGGAAUGAAUGAUCUUUCUCUGUUUCAUUGAGAACUAUUUUUCAUGAGACAGUGACAGAGACCCUACCUAUCUGAUAAG
Molecule: long non-coding RNA, 182 nt
Organism: Sapajus apella (tufted capuchin)
Lineage: Eukaryota; Metazoa; Chordata; Mammalia; Primates; Cebidae
Exons: 3
Source: RefSeq, a predicted model, not a curated record